Non-coding RNA from Camellia sinensis, 468 nucleotides. The record is from RefSeq and is a predicted model, not a curated record. Lineage: Eukaryota; Viridiplantae; Streptophyta; Magnoliopsida; Ericales; Theaceae.
CAGAGCAUGAGUGAGAGACAAACCUUCAACGAAGAAGCUUCAAAUCGGUGAUGGAUUUGGGUUCGAUUCGAUGCUUCCCCCUGCAGGCUGCAACCCUUUACAAGAUCGAAGCUCCUGGGAGAUAGAUUUGGGUUUGAUUGAGGAGUUGGGUUUGGUCCGAUUGAGUUUUUCUUCAAAGGUACUUUGGUCCACCGUCCAUGUUUUUUUCUUUUGCAGGUAAUUGCCGUGCUUUGCUUUGCUCAGUAGCCACGCUCAUACAUACACAAGACACUGUCGUUUUUCAGCCGUAUCGGCAUGUAUCGGACAACAAAUCGCUUACGUAUCGGAUUCAGCUCGAUACGUGUCGGGAAUCGGCCGCUACGGCCGUGAAAUUUAGUCUCGCCGGUAUACCGGUGAGUAUCCGACUCGGCCCUAUCAUUUUCCGGUACGAACCGGCCGGUACGGAACGUACCGGCCGAUAUUUAGAAC